AGGACGAACGCUGGCGGCGUGCUUAACACAUGCAAGUCGAGCGGUAAGGCCCUUUCGGGGGUACACGAGCGGCGAACGGGUGAGUAACACGUGGGUGACCUGCCCUUAGCUCUGGGAUAAGCCUGGGAAACUGGGUCUAAUACCGGAUAUGACCUCGCGAUGCAUGUCGUGGGGUGGAAAGCCUUGUGCGGCUAGGGAUGGGCCUGCGGCCUAUCAGCUUGUUGGUGGGGUGAUGGCCUACCAAGGCGACGACGGGUA
RNAcentral lists this ribosomal RNA (258 nucleotides) under uncultured bacterium. Its description in RNAcentral is "partial small subunit ribosomal RNA". It matches the Rfam family "Bacterial small subunit ribosomal RNA", at positions 26 to 285 of the family's 1533-position model. The record is from RNAcentral.